UACAGGGGGUGCAAACGUUGCUCGGAAUCAUUGGGCGUAAAGCGCACGUAGGCGGUCUGUUAUGUCGGAUGUGAAAGCCCUUGGCUCAACUGAGGAAGUGCAUCCGAAACUGGCGGGCUAGAGUACUAAAGAGGGUCGCGGAAUUCCCGGUGUAGAGGUGAAAUUCGUAGAUAUCGGGAGGAACACCGGUGGCGAAGGCGGCGACCUGGGUAGAUACUGACGCUGAGGUGCGAAAGCGUGGGGAGCAAACAGG
This 253-nucleotide ribosomal RNA is filed under the name uncultured bacterium. RNAcentral describes it as "partial 16S ribosomal RNA". It matches the Rfam family "Bacterial small subunit ribosomal RNA", at positions 524 to 776 of the family's 1533-position model. The record is from RNAcentral.